GACGAACGCUGGCGGCGUGCUUAACACAUGCAAGUCGAACGGAAAGGCCCUGCUUUUGUGGGGUGCUCGAGUGGCGAACGGGUGAGUAACACGUGAGUAACCUGCCCUUGACUUUGGGAUAACUUCAGGAAACUGGGGCUAAUACCGGAUAGAAUCUCCUGCUGCAUGUUGUGGGUUGGAAAGUUUCGGCGGUUGGGGAUGGACUCGCGGCUUAUCAGCUUGUUGGUGGGGUAGUGGCUUACCAAGGCUUUGACGGGUAGCCGGCCUGAGAGGGUGACCGGCCACAUUGGGACUGAGAUACGGCCCAGACUCCUACGGGAGGCAGCAGUGGGGAAUAUUGCACAAUGGGCGGAAGCCUGAUGCAGCAACGCCGCGUGCGGGAUGACGGCCUUCGGGUUGUAAACAGAUUUCGCCUGUGACGAAGAGUGAGUGACGGUAAUGGGUAAAGAAGCACCGGCUAACUACGUG
Molecule: ribosomal RNA, 468 nt
Filed under: uncultured bacterium
Lineage: Bacteria
Description: partial 16S ribosomal RNA
Rfam family: Bacterial small subunit ribosomal RNA
Source: RNAcentral